This 253-nucleotide ribosomal RNA is filed under the name uncultured bacterium. RNAcentral's name for it is "partial 16S ribosomal RNA". It matches the Rfam family "Bacterial small subunit ribosomal RNA", at positions 524 to 776 of the family's 1533-position model. The record is from RNAcentral.
UACAGAGGUCCCAAGCGUUGUUCGGAUUCACUGGGCGUAAAGGGUGCGUAGGCGGUCGGGUAAGUCUGACGUGAAAGCCCGCAGCUCAACUGCGGAAUUGCGUCGGAUACUAUCCGGCUAGAGGGUAGGAGGGGGGACUGGAAUUCUCGGUGUAGCAGUGAAAUGCGUAGAUAUCGAGAGGAACACCGGUGGCGAAGGCGAGUCCCUGGAAUACUCCUGACGCUGAGGCACGAAAGCUGGGGGAGCAAACAGG